CAGUUCUGCUCGACGAGCUGCCCCGCGGCAAGCCCGCCCUCCGAGGUCGCGUCGGGGUUCGAUUCGUUCGUGGAGGAGCGCGAGUUCGGGGACCUCCAGGGAUUGCUUUUCAUGUUCUCCGUUUGCCAUAUAAUCAUACAUCUUAAAGAAGGUCGCAUUUUGAUACCCAAACUUUGAAAAACCUUCGCAUACUUCAGGCAGCUAAGCAGGCUUUAGUGCCAUUUGUGAGGUCCAAAACUAUGCCGACACUGCCAUCAAGACCUCAAUCUUCCUCACCUUCCACGACAUACCUCGUCUUCAGCAUCUAUUCACAAUGAUUCCCCAGUGUACUCCUGUCAUACUCUUCGUCUUUGUUGAUGAUUACUUGGAGGUGGCACAUGCAAGCUCUCAUGUGGAGGAGGCUUCAGAAACCUCCUCAGUUAAUGUCAGUGCUAAUUUAAGCAGUUCCUCUAGAUCAGCCUUGCCUACAAAAGCUCCUGGUUCUGUAGUUGUGCUAGCACGCCCUAUUAGUAAGUCUGAAGGUGGUUUCAAGAAGAGGCUACAGUCAUCUCUCGAGGCACAGAUUCGCUUUCUCAUUAAAAAAUGCCGAACACUCUCGGGAUCCGAAACUAGUCAUGCUGGGUCA
Long non-coding RNA from Eucalyptus grandis, 625 nucleotides. RefSeq lists it as uncharacterized. The transcript has 3 exons. NCBI's taxonomy places the organism in Eukaryota, Viridiplantae, Streptophyta, Magnoliopsida, Myrtales, Myrtaceae. The record is from RefSeq and is a predicted model, not a curated record.